Molecule: RNA transcript, 4173 nt
Organism: Sceloporus undulatus (fence lizard)
Lineage: Eukaryota; Metazoa; Chordata; Lepidosauria; Squamata; Phrynosomatidae
Gene: BCL7A
Gene name: BAF chromatin remodeling complex subunit BCL7A
Exons: 7
Source: RefSeq, a predicted model, not a curated record
GGGGGAAAGAGGGGCGGAGCUUCUGAGCCCUGUACGUGCGCCGCGCUGACGCCUGCGCAGUGCCCGCCUCUCCGGCCCCGCCCCUUCCCUCGAGGCGGGGAGGAGCCAGAGCGGGAGCCGUCUUCUUCAUUGUGCGUGAGGGGGCGCCGCCGCCGCCGGACGGACGACGCAGGGACGCCUUGGCGGGUGGCUGGCUCGCCCUCUCCUCUCCUCUCCCUGAAGCGCGCGCGAGAGAGACAGAGAGAGUGGCCUCCUGCCUUCGGCUCCUGAGGCCGGCCGGCGCUCGGCAUCCCUCCGCCCGGGGCUCCUCCUCGCCCGCCCGCCCUCAGCCAUGUCGGGCCGGUCGGUGCGGGCCGAGACCCGCAGCCGCGCCAAGGAUGAUAUCAAGCGGGUCAUGGCGGCCAUCGAGAAAGUGCGCAAAUGGGAGAAGAAGUGGGUGACAGUCGGUGACACAUCUCUCAGGAUUUACAAAUGGGUACCAGUAACAGAGCCCAAAGUAGAUGAUAAAACCAAGAACAAGAAAAAGGGCAAAGAUGAAAAGUGUGGUUCUGAGGUUACUACUCCGGAAAACAGCUCUUCUCCUGGGAUGAUGGAUAUGCAUGAUGACAAUAGCAACCAGAGUUCAAUAGCUGAUGCUUCGCCCAUAAAGCAGGAGAACAGCAGCAACUCAAGUCCUGCUCCAGAACAGAAUUCAACAGGGCAGGCAGAUGGCACUGGAGCAAAGUCUGAUGAUACUCAAGGCGACUCAAAAGAGGAACCUGGCUCAGAAGAUGCUUCUGACGAACAGACUUCUCAAUCUUCGAUGGAGAACUCCAUGAAUAGUUCAGAGAAAGUGGAAACUGAGCCUUCAGCAGAAAAUGACAUAACCACAGAGGCAUCUAAAAACUCUCAGGACUCUGAAGGAGUGCCGCCUUCUAAAAAGAUGAAAGUAGAGGCUUCCUCUCAACAAAAUGUUGACGAAAUAUAAACUCUAGAUUUUUUUCCUGGCCAGUUUUUAUGUAAGGUACACCAGUGGGCUAAAUUAUAGAACAACUAUAAUUAAGUAUCUUCUCUUGGAUGAGGACAGAACUCCUAUAAACUUUUUCAAGUUACCAAGCAGAAAUCCAAGAAAACCAAGCAAAGGCUUACUCUUUUCAGACACUGAAAACUUCUUUUCCUGUGAAGCAAAAACCGUUGAGAAUUUAAGUUACUGUCUCUGAAAUGGUUGGAGUAAACAACUCAGGAGGGGUCUACGCACUGUUUCUAAUGUCAAAAUUACAAUUAUGUUGCUGCUGUAUUUUUUUUUCCAUUCUCUAUUUAACAUAAGAUAUUUAAGGAUGGUACAGGUCAGGUAUUCUCUUCUCAUGUGAAGUUCAUUGUUCUGAUGUGAUGUCUGUUUUUUGUUUUUGUUUUUUUGUGCCUUGUGUUCCAAAACAAAAACAAACCAGUGCUAAUUUUUUAAAACUUGUUUUUGCAACUGUCUCCUUUGCAACGUGGCCUACGUACGAUGCCAUAUAGGAAGCUAUUAGCUGGGCUGCCCACUCCCAUUUUAUACCCUGGUGCUCACUGUUCUGACAUAAGAGAUAACUUGAGAAAAAUCAGGAGGCCAUUUUCACUGUUGGAGUCCAGAGAAAUUGAUUGUGGAUGGAUUUUCCUGGAGCUACAGGGAUACUUUCUAUUUAAACGCAUUGCAUUUGAGCCACUAAGACUUUCUCCUCUGCUAUGCACAUGGAAACAAAUGCACAAAAACAUAGCUUGCUUUUGGAGAAUUUCUUGGUGAAAUCCAUCCGUCUGGCUAUAGAAGGUAGUCCUUUAAAACUGUUUCUUUUUUUGAAGUGAAUGUGCUCUGCUCUUCAUUUCAUUAGUGUUGGAUCUGGGUUAUAAUUGGGACAAAUUAUGCUUUUUUAAGUACUAAGAUUGAGAUAUCUAUAUCUGAGCAUUACUGAGAGGAGCUUGUUAUAAAUGCAAGUCUAAAUGGACAUAUACAUGAUGGCAGAUGAUAGUUUUGAAUAGGUGCAUUCUUGAAACAAUCGGUUUUAACUAAACUGGAUUUCCUUGUGCUGUUCUUAAACAAGAUGUUUAUUGAUGCAUAUUCCAGCCUGUACUGUACUGUACUUGAGGCAUAUUUUUGUUUCAAGGAGUUUGUAUAUACAGUUUUGUUACUUCAUAUUCUGUCCUUCAGACAUCUAUGUUUAGGAGAAGUUCAGUUUUUAAUUUCUGUGAGCUUAGUGUGGUGACACAGGCUGCACAAAAAUCUCACCCGUGGUGGUGGUAGUUGACAUCUGUAAAUACUAGGUGCUGUGAUGCCAGCUGUAAUAAGAAUAAUCCCCCCAAACGGUACUCAUUCCCCUUGAAAUCAAUGCCCCCUUAGUUAUAGCUGUUUCCCACUCUUAUCAUUUUCAGUGGGUCUGUACUAUGCUUAGCCCUUUGCUCAUCUAAGGAGGUGUUGAGUUGGUACAGUUUUUCUUGAUGGCUGCGGAAAAUGAGAAAGACCCAUAAAAAAUGAAGAGGAGAAACAUAAGUCUUAUAACUGUAGAGCAACUUUUUACCUGCAAAAGGAUCAAGUAUACUUUGCACUGGAAGUGCUAGCUGGCUUUUAAAAAUAGCGGAUCAGUUUCUUGCCCAAGUUGUUCCCUUACUAAUCUUGAUUUCUGAUUCCUCCAAUGGUGAAAAUGGCUUGAUUUUUUAUAUAUAUAUAUAUAUAUAUAUAUAUAUAUAUAUAUAUAUAUAUAUAUAUAUAUAUCACUAAAAUACCUCAAAUUUUUUCAUUAGGUAGGAAAACAUGUAUUGGCAUUACUGACACUGAUAAGUUUAGUGAAUGAAACUGGCUUCUUGAUUCCUCCUGUGGCUUUUCCCCUCAAAGGUGGCAACACUACACCAAGGCCUGCUACUCUUGCAUGAUGAACUUUGCCUCCUGAUAGGACCUGCUUGUCUGUGACUUGCAAAGUGAGCCCCGUACUUGAAAGAUGCGAAGCAGUAGGCUUUGAUGAGUUAAUGCCAUCGUUGUGCUGUCCCAUCAUUCUUGAAAAACCCCAGCAUAACCACAGUGCUUCGUGGCUUUUCUUUGUUAGUAAGCAACACUUGAUUUGCAGCUCAUACAACGUUGCUGAUAUUGGGAUCCUCUUUUGGUGAAUAAGGGGUAAUGGGGGGUGAGUGGGGAGCAGACCCAGUUAGGGUCUGCUAGGGUCCGUCUGUCCCCUUUUAAAAGGAUGGAGUAGGAGUCUGGCCCUCCUUGGUAUGCCGAAAUUCACAAUCAUGUAAGGACUGUUACUGGUCUUUCCUUGAAGUGCCUGAUAACAUUGCUAGGCCAUUUGGGUGUGCAGUUGCAAAACAAAACAAAGCUUGAAAGGGAUAGUAUUGGUCCAGAUCUGCAUUCACUUGAGACUCAGUACCAGGUCCAGCUUCUUGGUUUGGCACCAUUUUGCCCCUUUGGUUUGAUGUAUAUUAAAAGCACUGAGGAUGGGAUGAGAGGGAAAGUGUGCUGAAAUCUUGUAUCACAGUGACACAUUUGGUGGGAUGCUGUUUGCUCCAAAGGCUGCACUUUGUACAGUCUCUGCUUGCGUCUGCGCAAGCGGAGCGUACGGAGUGUCUUUCAAGAAAUGUAGUUUAAAGCUCCAGAAGUGCUUCCUUAUCUACCCACUCGGCAUUUGGACCUUCAGUUCCUCUCAGCCCUCCAACCUAGACAUGAAGCUAGCAAGGUAAAACUGCUCUUUUGGGAAUCCUGAGGGGCAGAGUGAGAAAUGAAGGCCUUCCAGAUGGACAGUUGACUCAGCCAGAUGUUUUUGAGCAGAACUCUUCAUUGUGAAGUUCUUAGGUGCUUGGGGGAGUGUAGUUGUAAAUCAUUCCAGAAAGUGCUGGCGGUUAGCAAAAGGCCAGCGACAAAAUCCGCAAGGCAGCAUAAAAAUGACUGGCUUUUUUGGGGGGGCGGGGGGGGGGGCGGUUAACCUUGUUCAUACGAGAAACAUUGUUAUGCUUUGGAAUGUUCUUUAUAUUGAAAAGGCCUGCUCGAAGGUGUAAAGAAUGUUGUGGGUUUUUUAAAGAUACCUAACCGUUUCCCCCCCCAUCUUAAUAAUGAUUUGUGUGUGUGUGUUGUACAGCAGUAUCAUUUUUUUUCCACUUAUUUAUUCCAUCGGUAGUUAUUGUUUGUACAAUGUACAAUGGUUUCAUUAAAAAAAGAAUAAACUGUAAAACCAC